This 410-nucleotide ribosomal RNA is filed under the name uncultured delta proteobacterium. RNAcentral describes it as "bacterial SSU rRNA". It matches the Rfam family "Bacterial small subunit ribosomal RNA", at positions 135 to 523 of the family's 1533-position model. Lineage: Bacteria; Deltaproteobacteria. The record is from RNAcentral.
AGCGGGGGACAACGUUUCGAAAGGAACGCUAAUACCGCAUACGUUUCCAGGGACCCUGGUACCUGGAAGGAAAGCUAGGUCGGGCAACCGAUCCGGCAGCUCGAGGAGGAGCCUGCGUCGCAUCAGCUAGUUGGUGGGGUAAUGGCCUACCAAGGCGAAGACGCGUAGCUGGUCUGAGAGGAUGAUCAGCCACACUGGGACUGAGACACGGCCCAGACUCCUACGGGAGGCAGCAGUGGGGAAUAUUGGACAAUGGGCGAAAGCCUGAUCCAGCCACGCCGCGUGAGUGAUGAAGGCCUUCGGGUCGUAAAGCUCUGUGGGAGGGACGAACCGCUGCUGGUGAACAGCCAGCAGCAUGACGGUACCUCCUUAGCAAGCACCGGCUAACUUCGUGCCAGCAGCCGCGGUAA